GAUGAACGCUAGCGGGAGGCUUAAUACAUGCAAGUCGAGCGGCAAGGUCUUCGGACCCUAGAGCGGCGCACGGGUGAGUAACACGUAGGUAACCUGCCCCCCAGUCUGGAACAACUAGAGGAAACUCUAGCUAAUGCCGGAUGAGACCACGAUCCCUUCGGGGGUUGCGGCCAAAGAUGGCCUCUACUUGUAAGCUAUCGCUGAGGGAUGGGCCUGCGGGCCAUUAGCUUGUUGGUGAGGUAACGGCUCACCAAGGCUGUGAUGGCUAGCUGGUCUGAGAGGAUGACCAGCCACACUGGGACUGAGACACGGCCCAGACUCCUACGGGAGGCAGCAGUGGGGAAUAUUGCGCAAUGGGCGAAAGCCUGACGCAGCGACGCCGCGUGGGUGAUGAAGGGCCUUCGGGUC
This 408-nucleotide ribosomal RNA is filed under the name uncultured bacterium. Its description in RNAcentral is "bacterial SSU rRNA". It matches the Rfam family "Bacterial small subunit ribosomal RNA", at positions 28 to 424 of the family's 1533-position model. The record is from RNAcentral.